AAAAAGAAUUCUCAGUCUAACCCUGUGAAGUAAAAUCCAUUGUUACAAAGAUCAGCUAUUAUAAUGACCAAUUUUUAAAUUUAAAUUUUUAAUAAAAAUUAUGUUUUGUUUUAGGAUGGUAUCGGCAGUGCAAUAUUAUUCCUUAUAGCAAAGAUGUUGACCUAGGGAUUUUUAUACAAGAUUACAAAUCUGAUAUUAUUAUAGCAUUUCAGGAUGCAGGACUUCCACUCAAACACAAGUUUGGGAAGGUCAGUAACAAAACUUGUCUUUAUUUUAUAAGUGACAUAUCUCAAUGAUAGAGUUGAUAGUAUGUAACUCAGACAUAAUUUUUUUUUUGUUUUAAUAUCAAUAGUUUAUUUUGGCAAGUGUUGCUGGUAUAGAUGUAGCAAAUUUUUUUAAAAAAUAAGUGAGUUGAGUAAAAUAUUUUAAAUAUAAUUGGGGGUCCAGUUCUGAGUAGAUCACUACAUUUGCCUAAGAAAACUGCUCAAUAUGAAAAAAAAUGGAACACUGCACAAUUUGUGUGUCAUCAUUGCACAGGGACAUGCUAAUCUUCUUUGCAUUGUUCCAAUUUUAGUAUACGUGUUGCUGGAGCUAGCAGUGCUUAUAUAAUUUUGUCACUCCGUAUCAAUGGAUUCAAUGGAUGUUUGUUACCACUUGUGAUUUCUGCACGAUUUAAUGAAAAGCUUGGAAAAUCUGGCUUUUAAUCUAUCAGAGAGGAAAGAAGGAUCUUGGACUCUUGUAAAUGAAUUUAUUGUUACUUUAUUAGGCAAUAAUAAAAACUUAAUGUAAAAAGUAAUCCCAUCCACUUUAUCUGAAGUUAUAUUGUUUCUCAUUAGUCAUUUAAUUUUAUGUUUAUCUCUGAAUUAAUGUCAUUAUAAUUAUCAACACAAAACAUUUCACUGAUUGCUAGGGGGUAGAAAUUUAGAAUCAUUUUAAAGAAGUACUUCAAUUUCUUGUUUAUCUCACAUGUCUUAAGUUAUAGCAGUUUCCUCAGAGGUCUAUUUCUCAGGGAUAGGAUAUUAUGGUGAAGAUAAAAUGUUACUCCAGACAAUUUGAUUUCUAUGCUCCUAAGCCCAUGACCCUUUGUGAUCAUCUUGCUCUUAAUUUGCCUGUCCCAGGGGAAGUAUUAUCCUGUAAAGCAAGUAGAAAUAUAUUUAGUCUCUGGAAAAUUAUUUCUUUCAUCAAAAAUAAUCAUCCUAUUUUUCUAAAAAGGUUUAAUCAAAUAUUUUCCUGAGGUCUAAGUCAAAGCAAUAGAGCUUUUGUCAUUUAACAUUUACUGAACAUUCACCAUGUCUGGUACUGUUCUCUGCACCUGGAACACGAAGAUGAAUAAAUUACAGUUCUUAUCUUUGAGAAGCUCACUGAUUUGGAGGGUGGAGGGGACACAAAUUUUUAUGUCACUACUAAUGAAAUAGACAGCUAUACCAAAUCUGAUGGACACAUAAUUAUUUAUAGGAUAAGUACUUUAAGGAAAUCCUCUCAAUUUUUUUUCUGUACCUUAAUUUUUUAUUUAUUCUUUUAUCAUGUAUAUAAUGUAAUGAUCUGUGCUAGUAUGUGGUUAUAUGAAAUGCUGCUUUACUUACUUAUCGAUUGAUUAUGAUGAGAGACUUAUUUCCUGAUUGUUUUUCUUGGUUAUUAAGGAAGUAAUUUUUCUUUGGAUCCUUUCCUUCUUUAGUCAGAAAGGGACUCUGGAGCAGAAUGUUUCCAUUUUCUCUGCAGUGAUAAUUUUAACUACCAUAAGUCAUUUACUCUGAGUUGUCAUCUGUUGUAAGAAACAUUAUUUUUAUGUGCAUUUAAGAAAUUAAACAUUACUACUGAUACAUCCUAAUUUCAGAGGUGCUACAACUUGAAAAAAACAUGUAUCUUAAAAUUAAUGCUCUGUAUAUAUAAAAGAUAAGAAUCCUUUUAUUUUUCUAAAUUUUUUUUUAAAUGUAUUGCCAUUAUUUCAAUCUAUGAAAGUUUUCAUCUUCACCCUAGGUGGAAGACAGCUUGGAACUAUCCUUCCAGGGAAAAGAUGAUGUAAAACUUGACAUUUUUUUCUUCUAUGAAGAGACUGACCAUAUGUGGAAUGGAGGCACUCAGGCCAAAUCAGGAAAAAAAUUUAAGUACGAAUCAGAUAAGUAUUUAUUAAAAGUGGCUAUAGAAGUAAUUUCAGAAAGAAAAAAAUAGGGGAGGGCUAGGGCUAUAGCUCAGUGGUAGAGUGCCAGCCUCGCGUAUAUGAGGCACUGGGUUUGAUCCUCAGCACCACAUAAAAAUAAAUAAGUAUAUAGUGUCCACCUACAACUAAAAAAAAAAAUAGUUUUGAGGCUGAGAUUGUGGCUCAGCGGUAGAGCGCUCACUUAGCAUGGGCAGGACCCGGGUUCGAUCCUCAGCACCACACGAAAAUAAAGGCAUUGUGUUGUGUCCAUCUACACUUAAAAAAAUAAAUAUUUAAAAAGAAUAAUUUUUAAAAAACAGGGGAAUAACUGAAAGAAAAAGAACCCACAUUUGUCAAGACUCCAUUAUUUAGUUUAUGCUUUCUUAGCUUACCCGUAGAGUCUAGUUAUACCCGUGAAGGGAGAACCUCCUAAAAGGACAGUCUGGGAGGAGGAAAUAUUCCUAGGUUUAUCAAUUGAAGGAGUCAUGAUCAAAACUCUGAAGUCAUCAAAAAGAGAAUAUCAAAGCAAGGAACACAAAAAUCAAGCUCAGAGAAUAAAGUAAAAAACACUGCCCAUCACAGUUAUAGGAGUCUGAUAAUUAUAUAGGAAUGGGUUAGGGUUGGUAAGGAGAUAGUCAUGGUGAAAUGAAGUUUAAAUGAAGUUUAAAUGAGUGCUGGGCAAGCUUUAGAAAUGUGCCUGUAAUAUAGAAAUAAAGAAUAUACUUUGGCCAUAACAGCUACCAUAGUUUAUCAAUGAAUGAUGUAACAGUAUUUUACAUGUGACUAAUAAAGGGAAAACACUGUUAUAUGACACAUGAUUCACAGAUUGGGAAGAGAGGUGUUCAGAAUUGAUGAAAUUUAGUAUGUUAGAUUGGUAUCAUUAAUACUUAAAUUUUUUAAAAUGCUGACCUACUCAGACUCUUAUAUUGGAUAAGACAAAAAUGACAUUAGAGUACCUGCUCUCUUCUGUAAUGCACACCAUCCACGGAGUGGGGUAGAAUGGAAAGAGAGAGUGAGCAAGAGCACACCAGCCCAAAGAGCAUAGGCUUGGGUCAGGCAACCCUGAGAAAUUUCAUCUCCACCCUAACUUUGACAAUUCAACUUCUCUGAACAUGAAGUGCCUCAUCUAUUAAAUUUAGGUAAGAACUACUGUAUCAGCACUGUUCUGAACACUGCUAUAGCACUGUUUCAGGCACAACCCAACCUGAGGAUCUGUGAGGCUCUGAGAACUUGAGUGUUAUUUGUUCAAGUAAAUGAAGCAGUCAGACAGCAGUCUGUAUCUAGAGUUCAGACUUUUAACCACUAUUCACAAUAUCCCGUACAUAACUUAGUGCUUAGUACUUAGUAAGUUAGCAGCAUUUAGGGACUUAUUGAUAUUGUUAUCUAGUAUUAUUAAUUUUAUGAUUACAAUGUGAUCACUAUCAUUAGUGCCAUUAUCAUGGUAGUCACGUGACCCAGUGGCAUAAAUUUACCUCACCAACUACCUGAGAUUGGGGCUUCUAUUAGUUAAUAUAUUUGAGCCAUUGAACAUAAAGGAGAAUUCUAUAAAUAGGAAGGAUUUCCAGACUCAUCCUGAUUUCUUCUAAGUACAUUGACCCACCCUCCUGGGAUCCCUGAAUUUUUAUCUGAAGGCAAGGAGUCUUUAUGUAAGAUUGAACUUGUUCUGAAAGUUUGAGAGUAGUUCAAACCUUUUUUCAGAGUCAUAAAGCAUCCCCAAACUGAUGCUGAUCCUAGAGCACAUUCUUGAAGCUUUUAUUAUAGUUUUUCUUUUCUUUCUAAAUGACAACAAACUCCUUUUUGCUGGGUAAACUCUGAUUCAAAGAAUUAGAAAUUAGUAAAUUAAUGAAUCAGAAAUUAGUAAAUUAAUAAAACAGAAAUUAGUAAAUUAAUAAGUAUAUAUUUGACUGUCAUUGCGGCUAAAUGAACAUGAGGGUUAAAUGUUUUAGACAUUCAACUAUAGUUUGCUUAAAAUAUGAAAGAGAUGCCAAUUUUAAUAUAUAAUUAGGGGGUUUUUGAAAAAUUUGUUUUAAAGUAUAACAAUAAAAAAUAGUGCAUGGAGCCAGUGUGCUUGCUUUAGAAUCCCAGCACUACAUUUAACCAACUACAUUACUUUGGGCAAGUUUUUUCAUCUUUUUCCAGAGUUUUCCCAACUGUAAAAUGGAAAUAAUAUGAUAAAUUGCCACAUAAAGUGAUUUUAAGGAUUAAAACAGGUAAUUUUUAAAAAAGAAAGCUAUGAAGAAUGACAAGAUGCGUGGAGUAACCAGGCUUUGUGGCACACAUUUGUAAUUCCAGUAGCCAAAAGGCUGAGGCAGGAGGAUGGCAAGUUCAAGGCCAACCUCAGUAAUUUAGUAAGGCCAUAAACAACUUUGUGAGAUCCUGUCUCAAAAUAAAAAAUAAGAAGGGCUGGGGGUGUGACUCAGCCCUCUAGGGUUCAAUAACCAGUAUCAAAGAAAAAAAAAUGUCAUGAAUGCUAAGUAAUUGUUACCUGUAUUAUUAUUAGUAGUACUAGUGGUAGUAAACUAUUCCUCCUCUUAGUCUUAUGAGAAAUGUACAGAUUAGAGAUCUGUGUAAUUAUCUCAGUAUGAAAGUGCCACAUCUGUUCUUAAAGAACUCAUACAAGAGUGCCACCCUUUUUUUAAAGAAAGAUAAUUUCUAGAGCUAGUAUUAGAGUCCUUUUGUUCUUAAAUUUCCUUCUAAGGGGUGAAUUUUUCUUCUUACUGACAUGAUAUGAAACUCACAAACCUCAAAAGAACUGUUCAUUUCCAACCACUACAUUUCUGGAUAGAAAAAGCUUCUUUCAUUCUGCUUCAACUGCUCUUUAUAGUAGCAGUGUUUGGGAAGUGUGAAGUGUUCUGACUAUUUAACAAGAGAAAUGAGCAGUGAUAGAACUGUCUGGACAGAUGGUGUGAGUCCCAGAUUUUCUAUCACGUUACUGUGACCUUAAAAGACAGAGAAAAGAACAGGAGAUGGCUGUGUGAAAUAGUUUCUUUGGAAGAUUCCCCUAGCCAUAUGCCAUUUUCAUUCUUUUCGGCACUGUUUACUUUAAGGAAAUCUAUUUUUAACACUACCAUUCCUAGGGGGGAAGAACCCAAACCUUUAAAACUAAUGUAAGGGUCUUUUUAUCUUUUAUAAUACUCUAUUUUUUAUUCAUGUGUAGUUCAUGCUGAGAAACAUAAUAGAAAGUGUGCCAUUUUUUAAGAGACUGAAAGGAACUCUGGAGAGAAAGAUUCUCUUCUUUCUAAACUUUACUCUGCUUGCCUACAGAAAAAUGUCUUGGUCAUAAGAUUGAAUAAUAAUUUGAAUAUUAACAGCAAAAAUAAAGAUACAGCUAGCAGGGUAUCUGUUAGAUAUAAGGCACUAUGAUAGGUACUUUAUGUAUUUAAUUUUAGAUAAUCCUUAUAUUGUCACAGUGGGCUAGGUAUUUUCACCAGUUGUUAGACAUGAGGAAACUACAGCUCAGAGAAGUAAAGUAAUUUUAUUCAAGAUCAUUGGCCAUGAAUGUCAGAGCCAAAAUUUAACCUCAGACGUGUUCAACUUGAGCCUAAAUGUUUUCUGCUAAGAGUUAAAAGGGUAAGUGAGUUAAUGUAACUCAUUUAGAACAGUGCCUGCCACAUUAUAAGUACCAUGUCAGAAUUAGCUACUGCCACUACUAUCAUUACUAUGUGGCUAUUACUACUGCUAUGCUGUAUAGGCACAAAGCAUAGCACUUAAACACAGCACUGACUUAGUUUUCUAUUCUCUGGGCAAGCAUUUUCUUACAGGUAUCAUAACACUCAUUCUGUUCACUCUUUUUAACUCCUGAACAUAAAGUCAUCUUUUAUCAAAUAUUCAAAUUCCAAAUUUUGUUUUUAACUAUUGUCUUCAUUUUUUUAAAAAAAAUAUUUUUUAGUUAUACAUGAGCACAAUAUCUUUAUUAUUUUGUUUAUUUGUUUUUAUAUGGUAUUGAGGAUCGAACCCAGUGUCUUACAUAUGUGAGGCAAGCGCUGUCACUGAGCCACAACCCCAGCCCUUCAUUUUUUGUAUCUAUUUGUCUUCUUGAGAAUUUAGAUCACUAGUAAUAAAAAAUGGUGAAUAUAAAACUGUGCCUCCAGAAUGUGAAGUUUCUAUUCCAUAACUUUACAGUUACAGUUCCUGGUUAGGUUUCUUUGGGUUAUUUCUUACCUAUCCAUCUAAAUCAGCUGGUGUGAAUUUUAGAGGUAAUCAUAAUAGUUAACUUUUAUUUUAUUUUAUUUUUGGUAGUGCUGGGGAUCAAACAGGGCCUUGAGCACAUGCUGGGCAAAUGCUUUACCACUGAGCGCUAUCCCCAACCCAAUAGUUAACUUUUAUUGAAUUCUUACUAUAUGCUAGACACUACCACACUUUUAUGUGCAUCAUCUUGUUUAACCCUUAAAAUAGACUUAUAAGGGAGAGUUUAAUAUUGUUUUCUUUAAUUAAUGAAUGAGGAAUCUAGUUAGAGCUAAGACUCAGACCUAGGUCAAUAUCACUGUAGAGCCCAUGUCCUUACUAUAAGCCCAUGUCCUUAAUACUAAUCUUUUUAGUAUUAUGAAUAAUUCUUCCAUGAAAACAUAGUUGCAGUAAUACAGCUACUGCUGCAUCCUCAAAUAGGAAAUUUUCCAUCCCUAGGCUGUGAGUGGUUCCUUAUAUCUUCUUUUUUUUUUUCCUUAUAUCUUCUUAUAUUUUUAUAUUUUCAGUUUCUGCUUAUUGGAUAGAUCUUCAGAAAAUUUGGAUUCAUACUUGGAGAACUACAUUCAUAUCCGAGUGUGACUCCUUUGUAAUUUAUUACUUCAUUUCUAUAAAAUUUAUUUCUAUCUAGUCUAUUUUCAGGAUACUAAUGUGAAUAUAACUUAGUUUCUGCUCUCAAGGAUCUCGUAAUCUAGACCAUAAAACAAUAUAACAUUAAAGUACUUUAUGUCAGCAGUAGAGUAAUUGAACUAUGUGCAAUCUAUAGUUGAGGUGCCAGAUCAACCCUAUCUAGAAACAACUGCAAGGAAGUGUAAUUUCAAAACAGGUUGGUUAGGCAGACUUAAGAGGAGUAUGGAGAAAGUCCUAAUAAUAGGUUUAGUUAACUAUUUUUUUCUAUUCUGAUUGUUCCUUUUUUUAAAUUUAAGAAAGUCUGAUAGUAUAUCUUUGCAUAAAAUAAAAGCUUUUUUAGGGAUUUUUACAUACACACAGGAAUGUUAUUGAACCAUUUAAAAAAAAAAAAGAAUGAAAUCCUAUAAUUUGUAGCAAAAAUAGAUGUAACUAGAGGACAUUGUUAAGUAAGCCAGACCAAAAAAGAUAAGUACCGCAUGUUCUCUCUUACGUGGAAGUUUUAAAAAGUUGACUUGAGUGUAGAAUACUGAUAAUUAUCAUUUGGAAAGAGGUGAGGGAUAAAGAGAGACUACAUUUGAUCAGUGCUCAUCAUAUAUAUGUGUUGAACUAUCAUUCCAUUAAUAUGUACAAUUAAUACAUUAAUAAAAAUAAAUAAAAGGAAAUAAGGUCAAAUUGUCUUUAUUUGGCCAUAUCAUCAUACAUAGAAAUUUUAUAGCUUUGCCAUUGAGGUCAUCAGCGAUUAUAUAUCACAUUUAUUAUUUACCCCAAGCUAAACUCCAUGCUCAGUAAAUAUGUUAAAUGAAUUAAUGAAUGAAUGGAUGUGUGGAUUAAUUGAUAUUUACUGAUUCUGAAAAAAAGUGAGCCUUUUAGAGCUUUGAUUCAUUGCCAGAUUGCCUUUCUAAAAAAUGAUACAAAUUUUUGUGUAAUCAGCAUGAAUGAAUGAGAGUGCAAACUUUACUACAUGUUACUGAGUUUUGCAAUUUAAUUAUAGUCCUUCAUGACUCCCCUGAUAGUUCCUUUAAGUAACUUUUUUUCACUUUUUCUCAUUAAUCUAAUAUAUCUUUGAAGCAUCAUAAAAAUGGAUCAGCCAUCCAUGGCAAGUUACUAACAGUUAUUACCUUUCUGUUAACUUUUCCAAACAUCUAUUGGCUUUUAGUGGUGCAAAGCACAUCUUUUUCCCAACCUUUCAGUUGCAUUUUCAAAAUUUAUCUAUAAAAUAUUACAAUAUAUCUGAAUAUUUCAUUUUGAUUAUUUGUUAGGCACUUUUUAUUUAGAGACUUCUAUAUCUAAAAUAUACAUGUGUGAUUUUAGUUGAGUGAGCUUCAGGUUUCUCCAUAACAUGAAGAUAACACUGCAUACCUCAUGGCAUGUAAUGCUUAUAUUGAAUAAUAUUGUGAAAUUACCUGAUUCAGUGCUUGACACAUAAUAGAUUCUCAGUUGUCCACUGAUUCUGAGUUAAGCAGGCAGAACCUCGAAGUCCAGUUAGGGAGGUUCAUUGCCAUGUAAUAAUUAGAAAAAAAUAUCACAAAUAGUGAAUUAAAGCCUACCAGAUGUAACAAAGAUGAAUACAAACUUAUACUACAUAAUUGCAGAGAGACAGUUUGUAAGAAUAAAACAAGUACAGAGAAUGCUGAGGUAAGGGUAGAGGCAGCACAAUUUGAAUAUUGCUAUUAAAUUAGAUUGAGUUGGCUCUAAGGAAGGAGAUUUAAUCUGAGUGUAGAAAGAUGAUAUUGAGCAAUAUUGGUGAAGCAGUUAAUUGACAGAAAGACUUAAUAUUUGACUGCAGAGUCUUUUAUUUAAUGUAAUAAACAAUAGAAUCUCUUAGGGCUUUAGGUGGGGAAUGUAAUAAGAUACAAGCCCUGUUGAGGAAUACUGUUAUAGCUAAUAUGUGUAGGCAUGAAGAAGUGAAAGAGACUGUUAGUACAGAAACCUACAGAAAAAGCUGGUAUAGUAAGCUAGACUUAGGUGUAUGAGAACCUAUGCUAAACAGGAGGUAAUUGGGAAAAGUAGUAAAAUGAAACUAAACAAACAAACAAACCCUCCAUGCCUGGCUAUGAACAAGGGAGUCCUCAAUCUGAAUGGGAAUUCAAGAACUCUUAAGGAUUCAAAGUAAAACAUAAGUUUAUAGUCUAGAGAAGAUUAGGAAAUAGAAAAUAAUCAUUAAUAUUUUAAUUGAAGUGUAACACAUACACACAAAGGUACACAUACAGAAAGUGUUUAGCUCCAAAAAUCAUCCAGUAAACAAUCAUGUAGAUAGAAUCUCAGUCAAAAAAUAGAUAUUUGGAGCCUGGUGAGGUGGCGCAGGCCUGUAAUCCCAGCAGUUCAGGAGGCUGAGACAGAAGGAUUGCGAGUUCAAAGCCAGCCUCAGCAAAGUUAAGGUGCUAAGCAAGUAAGACCUUGUCUCUAAAUAAAAUACAAAAUAGGGGCUGGGGAUAUGGCUCAGUGGUCAAGUGCCCCUGAGUUCAAUACCCUGUACCCACCUCCCUGCAAAAAAAAAAUGAUAUUUGGACCUGGUGUGGUGGUGCACUCCUAUAAUCCCAGGAGGAUCACAAGUUUGUGAUUCUAGACAACUUAGCAAGAUCACAUCUCAAAAUACAAAAGGCUGAUGUUGUGGUUUAAAAAUAGAGUGUUUGCCUAACAUGUACAAGGCCAUGGGUUCAAUCCGUGGUAUGACAAAAAAACAAUAUUUACCAGCAUCCCAGAGGCCUAUAUAUUUGCCCUCACAAUCAACUCCUUUUUCCCACAAAGAUACAACUGUCCUGUCUUCUAAUAUUAGUUUAGUUAUACCUGGUUUUUCAUUUUGCAGAAAUAGAAUCGUGUUCCUCAUCUUUUUUUUUUUUUUUUUUUUGUGUGUGUGUGUGUGUGUGUGGUGCUGGGGAUUGAACCCAGAGCCUUGUGCGUGCCAGGCAAGCACCCUACCAACUGAGCUAUAUCCCCAGCCCCUGAUAUCUUUUCACUGAACAUUAUGUUUGUGAGACUCAUUCAUGUUGUUGCUAUUGUUCAUUUUCUUUGCUGUAUGUGUUUGUACUACAAGUAUUUAUUAAGUCCACUGUAGUUGGCUACUGGGGUUGUUUUCAGCUUGGGGCUAUUUUAGAUGAUGCUGUAGUAAACAUUCUACACAGUACCCUUGUUCAUGUUUAUCUUAAUCCAUUAAAAUACAAUAAACUGGGUGGCUUUUAACAAGAAAUUUAUUUCCCACAGUUCUGGAGGCUUGAUGUACAAGAUCAAGUGCCAGCAUGAUUGGGCUCUGGUGAGAUCUUUUGGUGCUUGCAGACUGUCAGCUUCUCCCUCUGUCGUUAUAUGGUGGGAGGAGCAAGCAGAAUUCCUCAGGCCUCUUUUAUAAGGAUACUAAUCCCAUUCAUGACCCACUCACCUCCUAAAGUCCCCACCUCUUAGUACCAUUGCCUUGGAGGGUUAUGAUUUCAAUGUGAGAAUUUUGAGGGGACAGAAACAUUCAGACCAUAGAAGUAGUGUGGGAUAUAGCAAUACAGAAAGUGUGGGAUAGCUUCCUCAUAGGAAAUACAAAUAUUCAUUCUUUUGUUUACAAAUAGUUUUCAAAUGUUGGUUGUACAAAUUUACACUUCAUAGGACUUUCAUUGAUUCACUUUCUUGCCAACACUUGGCAUUGUGAGACUUUUUAAUUUUAUUCAUUUUGGAGGAUGUGUAGUGUUACCAUGUUGUAGUUUUAAUUUCCAUUUCCUGAAUGAGUUGGUGAGGGCCACCACUCUUUCAUUUUUAUAGAUCAUUUAUUUGCUCUUUUUUGUGAGGUACCUAUUAAAUGUUUUAUCAGUAUUUUAUUUGAGUUGUCAGUCUUUUUCUUACUGUUUGUGGCUUAAAUUAUACUGAAAAUAGCUUCUCAAUUUGUUCUUUUUUUCUUUUCACUUUCUUAGUGGUAACUUUUGUUCAAUGAAAGUUCUUAAUUUGGGGCUGGGGAUGUGGCUCAAGCGGUAGUGCUCUCGCCUGGCAUGCGUGCGGCCCAUGUUCGAUCCUCAUCACCACAUACAAACAAAGAUGUUGUGUCUGCCGAAAACUAAGAAAAAUAAACAUUAAAAUUCUCUCUCUCUCUUCCUCUCUCUCUGUCUCUCUCUUUUUUUAAAAAAAAAAAGUUCUUAAUUUUAAUGUAGUUCAAUGUAUUAUAGUUGAUAUUUCUUAUGUCCUUUUUAUGUGAUAUGAAGUAAAGAUCAAGUUAAGGCCAGGCGCCAUGGCACAUGGAUAUAGUUCCAGUACAUUGGGAAGCUGAAGUAGGAUUGCAAGUUCAAAGCCAGCCUCACCAAUUUAAUGAGACCCUGUUUCAAAAUUUAAAAAAAAUUAAAAUGGCUAGGGAUGUGGCUCAGUGGUAAAGCACCCUUGGGUUCUAUCCCAGCCCUAAAAAAAAAAAAAAAAAAAAAAGAUCAAUCUCGACUUGCUUUUGUUCACCUGUUUUCUGCUAUCCUUUUUUCUACUAUCCUUUUUCUGCUCCAUUCCAGGGUACCACAUUGCAUUUAGACACCCUGCCUUUUGAAACUUGAUUUUAGUCAAAGAUUUUAAAUAAGUCACUAGUAAUACCAGAUUAUCUUCCAUUAUUGUAGUUCCUAAGUCUGCCCAGUCAAAGGCAUUGGAUUUGCCUCCUCCUUUAAAUUAUUCCUUGGUAUCUCUAUCUGGAUAUAAUCUCUUGCUCUGAAUUUUUAUAAAUUUUUUCCCUUUACUUCCCUCAUGCUUUAUUAAAGUACUUUUGCUGAUUUGUCAGUCCUUUCUAAGUGAUAAAUAAAAUCAGUCUUGGUACAUUGGUACAUCAUCUAUAGAGCUGAGUGAGAUCUGAACCCUACUUGAAACUAAAUCAAAGCCUCUUAAGUUUAUUCCACAUUGUUUUGUGAAGAUGAUAGGAUGAUAUCAGAUUAAUGACUUGAUCCAACCAGCACCUUUGGAGAAUUAAAACCAUAAAAUUAAGUUGUUAGUUAUUUGCAAUCACUGUGCUUCCCUAGAAGUUAAAGACUAGAGUUAGAUAUAGAGUCCUCCCUCAUUGUCUCUCAGCCUUAUAGAUUGAUACUAUUCUACUGUAGUUAUAGCUCUCAAAAAACAUUUGUCUCUUUAGUACAUACAGCUGUGAAGCUAAAAAGCAAAUUUGAAUAAUUUCUUUAAAUGAGUGUAUUUAAAACAUUGACUUUUCUAAAAUGAUCUCGUACUUCCUGCUCUAUUUAUGUCUUCAUAUUUUAUAACAUAGAUUAUGUCUUAGGUCUCCUUAAUUACACCUCCAAACUGCUAGUGAGUAGCAGGUGUAAAAUUGAGGGGUUGAGGGAAGAACUGUGAAUAAAUGUUACAUGGUAAAUUGUAUACUUAUACAUUAUAAGAGCUGGUAGCUACUUAUAUAGUGAGCUUGGGGUUUUGUUUUGUUUUAAGAGAAGAUGCCUUCGGAAUGAAUAAACAGCAAAUCUUUCAUUUGUGUAAAGUAAAAAUUAUAUAUUUUUGAAAUAUAUAUAUAUAUUUGAAUAUAAUUCUGUAAGGGGUUAAGUUAGGUAGUAUCCUAAGAGAAAACAAAACAAAAACAUGUUUCUACUAAAAGACUUAGACACAAAUGUUCCUAGCAAUUUUAUUCAUACUAGCUAAAAAAGUAAAAUCAUCCUAAAUCAAUGCACACAGUCUGGUGACCAGUUAUACAAAUUAUGAUAUAUUCAGAUGAUAGAAUACUAUGGAUGGAUGCAUCUUCAAAAUAUUAUGCUAAGUAAAAGAAGUAAGGAACAAUACAUACUGUGUAUUUACUUGUAUUUUAUUUUGCUGUAGCACAAGCAAAACCAGUGAUGAGUGUAAUAAUAUUGGGGGUUGCCUAGGGACCGGGUGGGUUGACUACUGAAUGGCAAGGAACACAGGAAACUCUGGAUGGUAGAAGUGUUCUCUAUCCUGAUUAAAAUGGUGGCUAUAUAGGUUAUACAUUUGUCAAUAUUUAUCACUUAAAAUUAGUACAUUUCAUUCUAUGUAAAUUAUACCUCAAAAAAUUGAUUUAGGAGGCUGGGGUUGUAGCUCAGCAGUAGAAUGCUCGCCAGCACGUGCAAGGCCCUGGGUUCGAUUCUCAGCACCACAUAAAAUAAAUAAAUUAAAUAAAGGUAUUGUGUCCAAUUACAACUAAAAAAUAUUUUUUUAAAAUUGACUUAGGUUAAAAAUAUUAAAAAAUAUUUUGUGACUUUGAUAUUAAGAGAAAAGAAUCCAAGAUUUCUAUAUUAAAAUGCAGAGAUACAUGGGAACAGAAACAAUGAAUUUGGCAAGGGCAGACCUAAUUGUAAUGAUAAAUUUCAAGACUUUUGCAUUUGAUUAGAUAAAUUGGGUUAUCUGACAUCAAAAUAAAAGAGGCCUUCUGUAUUUAGCAUGAAAUUUGAAGUCAUAAUUUUAAUUUCUAUUUUUGAGUAUUUAAGUUAUUUCUCUGAAGAGAAAUGCUAGUAAAAUUGUGGAAAACAAAUACAGCUAAUGUCUGAUUUUCAUUGAUGAGCUGUAGAUCUAGUUUUUGGAAAUUAUUCAGCAGACAUAAAAACGUCCUGAGUCUUUGUCCUCUAGCACUGAAGACAAAUUUUAUGUAUCUUUUAAAGUGGUUGUUUUUGAUGUGGUUGUUAUGUACGUGCAUUCAGGUAAAAAUAGGUAAUUAAAUGAUACCUAUUUUAUAGGCUUUAAUUGGCCUAUAUAUUUUUAAAGUAUUUUUUUAGUUGUAGAUGGACACAAUACCUUUAUUUAUUAUGUGGUGCUGAGGAUCAAACCCAGUGCCUCACAUGUGCAAGGCACGUGCUCUACCAGCGUCAUGGUCUGCUUAUUGAUAUACAUUUUUUUUCUUGUUUCUCCUGUAGCACAGUUGACUACUAGUUUGGUCCCUGAGGCAGAGGUCCUAUAGGGAUCACAUAGCAGAGUUUGCUGUGUAUAUUCCUUACUGGACAGUAAGGGUAGGUAGGAUCACUCAAUUUACAGUGGAAGUCAGUGGCAAAAUGAAGUUCAUAGGUAGAAAUUUACCAUAUAAAACACGUACAUUCUCUCUUCUAUCUGAGUAUGUAAAUACACAGAUAAAUAUGUAACAUAGUAGUUUAGGACAGGCCUGAAGAAUGAAAUUAGUAAAGAUCUUAGAGAUACUGUAUUUCAGCCUAGACUCUGAAAAGUAUAUUAGUAAUUCCUGUAUAACUCUUUUUACUCUUUAUUUUCCAUGGUGGGAUUGUGAAGUAUUUAGUAUAAAAAAUGAUUUAAAAAAAAAUAUGAGGCAGCAAAGUUACUAUAACUUUGGUUUUCAAGAAUUGAGUUUAAUUUUUACCUGACUGUUUAAGAGCAAGAUUGGUAUGAUGACAUAUAAUUAAUGUGACAGUAAUUCCUCACUUUGUCAUAAUCUGUUUGCUACAGACACAAAGUACUGUGAAUAUGUCUUAAAGAUAAUACAGCUGAGCUAAAAGAAUAAGUAAUGAUGAAGCAGUAUUUAUAUAAUUUUCAAAUUAUAAGCAGAAUAAAUAAUAAAUCUGAAAUUCAUCUUAAGGAAACCAAUACCAAAAAAUAUUUAUACAUGCUAUGUGAAAAAAUAGAUUGCUCACAAAGAAGCACCAAGUAUACCUUAGCAACAGUUGAGCCUAAAAGAUAACAGAGUGACAUCUUCCAAAAGCCAAGGAGAAAUAACUGCCAACUUAGAAUGUUAUGUUUAGUUAAAACUAACAUCAGGUAUGAGAUAAAAAUAAAGACAUUUACAUAUAUACAAAGACUUAAGAAAGUUUAUGCCUCAUAAACCCAUUCUUAGAGACAUAUUAACAACUUGGAGGGAAAAUGUGAUACAUAUAAAAUAGUGGUGAGCCAAAAAAAAUGAGAAAAUGUCAUUAAAUUUGUUAGCCAUUGCAUAUAAAAAUAAUGAUGUUGACAACUAACUUAUUAUAUUAAAAUGAGAAAGGUCAAAAAAGAAGACUCCUGACAGUUGAGGAGAAGGUGAUAUGUCUUUGUUCAAGGAGUAAAGUAUACUAAGUUACAUGUUUAAGAAGAGGAUAGAUAUUGCACAUAAAUUUGGUCUUUAAUAGAAAAUGUUAUAGUGAAGUAAGUAUGUUCAGUAGCUAGAAUAUAAUUAUCUAAAAUGUCCAAAUAAGCAGAGAACAGAAGGGAAUAUAUUAAUCCAAAUGAAGAUAGGAAAAGUAGAGGAGGAUGUCAAAGGAAAAGUAUGGUAAACUGAAAACAUGUAAAAAUAAUUAUAACAACAAUCAACAUUGUUUUAGAUACCAAUAUGAACACUUUACAUUUAUUUAUUCUUUCUACACUAAUAUCCCUCUGAAGUGUAGGUACUGUUAUUAUCCUCAUUUUAUAAAUGAGAAAAUUAAGGUACAAGGAAAUUGGCCAAUGUCACACAAUUAAUUACUGAUCAAGCCAGAAUUUGAGCCUGGGUAUUCUGGCACAAGACUAGUUCAAAAUAAGUACACUAUAUAAUUUAAUACAGUAAAUGUAAGCAAAUUAAGCUAACCUAUAAAACUUCAAAGAUUAUUCAAAUGGGAAAACAAAAUUUAGCUGUAUAAUACUUUCAAGAGGCAUACCCAAUGCAAAAUCACACAGGAAGUUUGCAAAUUACAGGGAUGGAAAAAGAGAUACCCAAUGGUAUUAACCAAAGAAAAUUAGUACUAUGAUAUGGUUAUCAGACAAGAUAGAAUUUAGGGGGAGAAAUAAAGUAUUAGAAGGUCUGUUAUAUAAUCUUUCAAAGAAACAGUUCACCAAGAUGAAAUGCUAUUCAUGAGCUUCUCUUGCCUGAUUGGCUGAAGUUUCAAGGAGUAUGUUGAAUAUGAGUGGUGAGUGGGCAUCCUUCUCUUGGUCCUGUUUUUAGAGGAAAUACUUUAAGUUUUUCUCUGUUUAGUAUGAUGAUGGCCUUGGGUUUGUCAUAUAUAGCCAAUAUAAUGUUAAAGUAAGUUCCUUCUAUCUUUAGCUUCUGUAGUGUUUUAAAGAUAAUGGGCAUUAGGCUUUGUCAAAUGUUUUUUCUGUGUCUAUUGAGAUAAUCAUGUGAUUCUUGUCCAUAACUCUAUGUGGUAAAUUAUAUUUAUUGAUUUGCAUAUGUUGAACCAACCUUGCAUGACUGGUAUGAGAACAACUUGAUCUUGGUGCAGUAUCCUUUUAAUGUGUUUUUCUGUGUGAUUUGCCAAUAUUUUAUUAAGACUUUUAUAUUUAUCAAGGAUAUUGGCCAGAAGUUUGCUUUCCUUAAUGUGUUGUUGUCUGGUGGGAAUUUUUUAAAUUGAGGGAAUCUUUUAAACAUACUCCUUAAUAAUUAAUGAAUUAAAAAGGAAAUUAUAAUAGAAGUUAUAAAAUAUUUAGGACUCAAAGAUAUGAAUGUACUGUAUACUAAAAUAUACAAGCUAUAGUUAAAGGGUUAGAGCUAAAUUUAUAGCCUUAAAACCACUUAACUGAAAAAUACACAUUAAAAAAAUCAAACUUCGAACUUGGAGAAAAUUAAAUAACAAUACAGACAGCUUGAGGAAAAUGAAGAAAAGAAAUCAAAAGAAGAAAUUAAUGAAAUAGGAAGCAACCAACAAUUCCAAAUGCUGAUUCUUAAAGAUUUAAUUUUAAAACUAGUAAAAUAAAUGGCAUCUAGCACGACUGAGAAGAAAAGAGAAAAAGUAAAGACAAUAUGCAGUGUUCAAACUCAUGAUGUCUUACUCAUUGUGUCCUUAACUAUAUUAUGUCGACUCUCAGAAAAUACCAUGGAUGACUUUAGGACAGUAAAUGCAACAGUUAGGCAAAAAUGUGAAAAAGAAUAAUUUUCUAGAAAAAUUUUAACCAAAAUAAAAUCAAGAAAAUUCACAUAGCCUAUAUUCAUUCAAGAAACUGAAAUAGUGAUCAAAAAUCCUUCUUUCCCCUUCUUUUCUCUACUAAGACAUUUAUGCCUAGAAAAUAUACAGGAAAGUCUUACCAUACCAUAUAAAAUAGGUUACCCCAAUAUUAUAUAACCUAUUUUAGAAAAUAAAAAAAGAGAUAUCUAGGCAAUUUAUUUUAUGAGACUAAUAUGAAAUAUGGACAUGGGUAAUCUAGAAAAUUUUAAGGGAAAUUAUAGUCCCAAAGAACACAGAUGAAAAUAUCCUAAGUAAAUGAAAAAUUUUUUCCAGUGUAUAUUAGUAUAAUUCUCCAUAUUAAAAUAUUAGAAGGGAACUGGGGUUGUGGCUCAGCGAUAGAGCUCCCGCCUUGCACAUGCAAGGCCCUGGGUUCGAUCCUCAGCACCACAUAAAAAUAAAUAAAUAAAUAAAUAAAUAAAUCGAGUUUUAAAAAUAAAAAAAUAAAUAAAUAAAGUAUUAUAAGAUUAAAGGGAGAAAAAACUGCAUAGCUGUUUAAUAGAUGAUACUUAAAACUAUUGAUAAGGUUUUGUAAUUAAAAAUAAAAGGCCUUUUAAACAAAAUAGAAUUUUUUUCAACUAAUAAAGAAAAUAUAACAAAAACCUAGAGUGAACAGUCAUAUUUAAAUAUAAACUUUAGAAGCCUUCCCACUAAUAUCAGAAUGUCUGCUAACCCAGUUUGUAUUAAACAGUUUGCUAGAGAAGUUAGGCACUGGAAUAACACAAGGAAAAGAAAUUAGGAGUUAGAAGAGAUAAGAUCUAUAAUGAGAAUAACCCAUCUGUGUUUUGCAGGCAAUUCCUAUGAAAUUAUGGCCUACUCUUCCAACUCAAGAGUUGAAUGCAAACUUAACAUUUAAAAAGGUCAAAUUCAAUUGUAGUCAAUGGUGUCUCUAUCUCAUUUAGGUUCGCUAACUAGUAAUAAUAAACAGUGGUCUUCUAGAAUGCUGGAAGAACUUCCUUUUCAUCUAGCAAUUAUGUUCAUGUAUUAUAAAAUUAAACCAAUUAAGUUACUUUCAUCAUCAACAAGUAGCUAUGGAUUUUAAGAGUUUCUGUUAAGAAAAAAUAUAUUCUAUACCAACUGACUCUUAGUUCUGAUUACUUUUUUUUUUUUAAGAAUAUCAAUGGUUGUGGAUGGACACAAUAUCUUUAUUCAUUUAUUUAUUUUUAUGUAGUGCUGAGGAUCGAACAAGUGCUCUACCACGGAACUAUAGCCCCAGCCCUCAAUGGUCAUUCUUUUUUUUUAGAGAGAGAGAGAAUUUUAAUAUCCAUUUUUCAGUUUUCGGCGGACACAACAUCUUUGUAUGUGGUGCUGAGGAUCGAACCCGGGCCGCACGCAUGCCAGGCAAGCACACCACCACCUGAGCCACAUCCCCAGCCCCUCUAAUUACUUUUUUAGGCAAAAAUCGAGCAAAGUAAACAUGGUAUGAAAAAAAAAUAGAUGGAAGAAUUGUGUGUGUAUGAUAGUAAGAUCCCUUAAACUUGUUUUCCGAUUUAGGGUUGCUGUAGUCUAAAUUUAAAUCACAUUUUGGAUCCUGUCCAAGGGCUUUGAAGUACAAACUCAUCAGCCAAACUUAAUCCUAGCUUUAAAGCCCAAGGUAAUGUUGCAGACCCAUGGUGUACUUUAGUCAUAGGCAUUAUUUACUGGUAACCUGACAGGGUGGGUGGCAUGUACUCUUCUGUGCCACUCACCCCCCUACCUCUCAACAAUCCUAUUUUAUGAUGAGUGUUCCCAUUUUAUGGUUUGUUUAUCUUUACUCUUCUCUUAGGAAACUAGGUGGGGUUUUUGUUUGUUUGUUUCUGAAUGGAUUGAAAAAUAAUUGGGGAAAAGAAGCCACAGAAAGUUUAGAGAUAUUUCUGUUUGGGAAUAAAAAUUCACAUUCUAGUUAAAUUGUCUUUGUGUUAUUUUUACGUUGUUUAUAUAUUUAAAUGGUUUGGGUUUUCUCACAAAUCCUUCAUUGUCCAAAACAUGGCUUUCAUAAAAUCUUUAGCAUUCUCUUCUAUCCUGUAUAUUCUAGUUCUGUUAUUUUUCUCUUCCAGCUCUUUGAUGAGAGACUAUAGAGGCUAAUACUUUGAAGAGUGUUCUGGACUAACUUACUAGACAGGCCAUGAUCUCACCUGAACUCAAUUUCAGUGUGACAACUUGAUAGGACAGGACAGGUGGCUAUUCUGCUGACCAGCAUUUGAUUGGGGAGGGUGGAAGUUAAAGAUGGGUGGAUAUGUCUGAUGACAAAAUAAGCAAUUCCUUGAAUAGGAGUAUGCAGAAUAAAAUAGGGACAAGCCGCUGGUGGGUCUAAGCUAUAUCUUGUUUCUUUCUCAGCUAUGAGAUUUGCUGUGGCUAUCUUUUCACAGAAGCCAGCUAGGACAGCCCUUUAACUGCCACAACCCAUUGGUUUUUGUAGAAGGCACUUGUUGCUAUCUUUUGAGUUUGUUCGGUCUCAUUUUUAUGUAUGGCUUUAUGUUUCUUUGGUGGUAAAACACGAUAUUCAAAGGCACAAUAUAUAAGAAAUGACCUUUUCUUGGAGAACAUCUCAGGUCCUAUUUCCACAAUGUUAUUUAAUCUAAACUCUAAUAUGUUAUUUUUAAUUAAUUUUAUGGUACUAAGGAAUUGAACCCAAGAGGCUCUUUACCACUGAACUUCUAUUUUGAGACAGGGUCUAACUGAGUUGCCCAGACUGACUGAAUUUGCAAUCCUGCCUCACCCUACUCAGUAACUGAGAUUAUAGGCAUAUAUCACCAUGUCUGGCUAAUCCUCUAAAGUUUUAAAUUUCUGUGAUAUCUUCUGUUGCCACUUCAGGUUUCAUUACUGAAAGUUCAUUCUAUGUUGUGAAGAGAAGCAGCAUUUCUCAGGAAAAAAACAACACCUAAUAUAGGGAGGUAUAUAUGUACGUGUAUACACACACACACACACACACCUUACUUCAAGCAGACCUGCUAGUUUUAGCUUUCCUAUGCAAUACAUUGGAUUUAAUCUACUUGAUCCAAACCUUUAAGAAACAUGUCCUGAUUUAAUUACUGAAACUUACCUUCUAAUUGUUGUAGUUCUACAAUAGAUAUAGUUAAAUUCACUAUAACUAACAUUCCUUAGGCUAGUUUAAAGAUAUUUUUUUAGCAUUUGAGGGAAAAGUAAGAAAGACAAACUAUAGGUAGGAUCAUGAAGAUAUGGAACCACAGGAAAAACCUGGGAAUGCAACUUGGAGUCAUGCUUAUUCUAUAUCCUUAGGAAAUUGAGGUUGUACAAGAAAAGAAAACUAUUUUUCUUUAUCUUUUGGUAACUUUGCUUUGACACCUCUUUCCCUAGAAAUUUUCCCACAGAAAUUCUAGGACUGACUUUCAUUUGUAUAACUUGGAUGCAUUCCCGUCUCUGAACUGAUUAUUAUAAAUUACUGUUAGAUUUUUCUUACCCAUCUCUGAAUCUUAGGGGAGGGGUUAGCUGUUACUCAUAUGAACUGGAAAUAAGGGAAGAAAAUUGGGGUGGUGUUAGCAUUUGAAGAGAAAGGAAUGUUGGACAAUUAAAAAUAUCAAAUGUCCACUUUCUCUGUUCCCAAAGCUGCUUAGUUGGAAAGGGCUGUCCUUCAACCAAAAAUGCACUAGUAACUGGGUUCUCCUGCUGGACCUUCCACUGUGGGAGCCUAACCCCUCCCCACAAUGCCUCUGUUCUACCACAGAUACCUGUUUCCCAAGUUUACACUGUGCUGGACUGAAUUUGUAGACAUGAAGGUCAAUGUGCCCUGUGAAACCAUCGAAUACAUUGAAGCCAACUAUGGUAAGACCUGGAAGAUUCCUAUAAAAAUAUGGGACUGGAAGAACUCUCCCCCCAAUGUGCAGUCCAAUGGAAUCUGGCCUAUUUCUGAGUGGGAUGAGGUCAUCCAGUUGUACUGAAAUAAUAAGUUGAAAUAGGAGAAGCUUUCUCCUGAAAAAAAAUGUUGGUAACUGUUUAAAAGACUACAUGUCUAUUUGUCAAACAUAAGCAGGAUCCAAAGGAAAAACAUGACAAGUUUUAAGACUGAAAGAAUCCUAACUCUUGAGCCAUCUGAUUUAAUUAUCUCAUUCAGCAUUCACUUAGUUUCUGUGUGUCAGAUAAAAUACUAGGUUACAGUGGAGAAGCAGAGACAAAUGAUCAAAUGUCUGCAUUGUUCCUGUCCCUUUGGUAAGCACCCCAGUUUUCCUUUGAUGGAAAUUUUCCACCUUUUGAAGAGCUGAAGUAGAAUAUAAUAUAUCCUAUAAUUUUUUUUUAAAUGUUAAGUAAUUCUUAGACUGGAAGAUGAGCUUAUCAGGCAAAGCUAAUGAAUGGUAUAUUCAUGAAAAAGAACAAUGUAUUCCUGUUCUUAGUGUUGAAGCUUGUGUAAUAGUGCUACCUUUAAGAAUGUGGCAUCUGAGUUAAUUUUCAAGUGAUCAGACUUUAGGUAGCAUCAAGAAAAGAUUGUUGCAGACUCAUUUGACAAGCCAUAUGAUGCAAAUUGAUUUAGAGCAUAGGGUAUUAUUCUAUAAGGGAAGGUGGGAGCUCAUUUUGAGUUUUGUCAAGUUAAUUUCAUAUAUUUACUAUUUUCAUAUUUGAAGUGAGAAGAAAGUUGAUGCUUUUGUGAUACUUAAAUUUUCAACUAUGGUGAGAAUAUUUUCAUUGACCCUUGAUGCACUUGUUGGUAUAUUAUUCAAGCAAGACCAUGCUACCAGACAUGAUUUUGAAGAGAUGUGAUUUUACAAAACUCACUUUCCUAUUUCACUCUCAAACACUGUCUUAGGUAAAAAUAUGAGCUAUUCAUUGACAUCUUCUAUUUUCUCAGUUUAUAACCCUUGCAUUUCCAAAUUAGUGUUGACCCUAAGAUAUUAAUAGAAAUACCUCUAAUUUUUCUAAAUAUACCCUUCAUUGUAUUUACUCAUCAGUCACGGCUCCUUAUCUUUAAUUUAUACACAAUAAACUAAUUUAAGUGGCAAAAAGCUGUUCUUUUUCUCUUCUAAAACUACUUCAGAUCUCCAAAAUGAAAGGUAAAUAAUGAACCUGACAACUAUUCCCCAUCCUAGACUAUACUGUUUAUAAAGCUGUGUCUCUCUCUCAUUGUUCAAUCUGUGGAGUAUCUAUGGGUCAAGAACUCAGACUUCUCUGCUUUCUCAAGUACCAUCUACUCUGGAACCCUUCAUUCCCCUGCCCAUCUCAAGGUAUACCCCUGAGUGGGCUGGGAUGACUUCCCUAUCUCUUUACUAGUAGUCACUUGAAUGAUGUAUUCUCAUUGAGUGAUAAAGGGAAAUGCAGGUACAGUGAGCCUCGGGAAAAGAAGCUAAGUCUUAUAUCUUAUCUGUGCUACUUAAAACUGUCUUGGGCUGACAUGGUAGACUUUUUUCUGUAACAAGAAUAACAAGUUCUUAAUUUGAAAAACAACAUGAAGAUUUUCUUUGAUGGAUGGUAACCAACAUUCUAUCUCUCCUAGGAUGCAUUCUCAAUGUAAAAUCAUUGGGUCUUUUCAUAAAUAAACAGGUUUUCAGGGAUCUUUAUAGAUUACCAGCAGUACCCAAAUGACAGGUCAUCGUAAUCAUCUUUCUCUUUGUUAGAAAAUCAGCCCAUAGACUAUAAACCAAGUUUUAAAUAUCCAACUCUAAUUUCAUUUUUCACACCCCAAAACAAUAUAAGAGAUAAUAAUUGUGUUCUUGGGUAAAAUCCACUCCACUUAGAGUGCUGUUUCCUUGUGCUUGGCAUCUGGAACUCCAUAUUCUUCACAUUCCUGCCUAAAUUGGGGUUUCCAAAUGUUUGCCAGGAAAUCCUUCCCAACAAGUUCAUGUUGUUUCUCUUGUAUCUGUCUCAGGAGUAUGAGAUCUGGAAAUGUGAAAAAAAAAAAAAAAGAUAUCUUAGUCCAGUUGGUAAAUAUUCCAUAUUCUUCCUUACAUAGAUCAAGGCUGCUGAGAUACCUUGUCUUCCUUCUGGUUUUACAGGCAGCUUUAGCUCUUGGGCUCCAUUCUAAUUUGGAGAAAUGAAAGCCUUUCCCCAGAAUAUGAAGAGACCUGAACUUACUUCUGAUACUGAUUCAGCCUUACUUCAGCCUGUGCUUCUUAACAUUUGAACUUGGCUGAGUGUUCGGAGACCCUGAGUUAAGUGUAUCCCCCAUCAAUAUCUCAUCAGAUCACUUUUCUUUCCUUACUUAAGUAUUCCAGCAGUCAUUUUCCUAAUCUGAUCAUUUUCAGUUCCAGUUUGCCUGGUUUACCUGAAGAGGACCUCUUAUAUUAACUUAUUGGUAUUUAAACACUGUGAAUGUUUCCAGAACGAUCCUGAGAAGCAAGAACAGUCAACUGAGUUGCAAGUUGACAAUCAGUCCACUGAGAAAGCCUUUCAGUCCUUCUCUAAGCUUGAGCAUUUAUCCUUAUCCUCUGUCUACUCCAACAACUGAUUCCUGGCCCCUGGAAUAAAAUAGUAGUUCCCCAAACUCAGUAUUCCUAAGAAUAGCUGAGCAGUGAGAAUGCAGGUUUCCCUGAUUCCCUAGCUACAAACCCUGAAAAGUGAACACUAGGUAAUAAAAUACAUGCCAGCAUCCCCCCCAAAUAACUUAACAUUUAAGUGAAAAUCAUCCUGCUCUUGAAUCUUUAAAGCCAAAAGGAGCUUUAGUGCAAUAUUCAUUGUAACUCUCUUAUUUUGUAACUAGUAAAUAAAUAUUUUGAGCAAGAAACAGCUGAAGCUAAAACACAAGAGUGCCAUGACAUCCAGUCCAGUGUUUCUUUCAUUACUUACAUCCCCGCACAACAUCUUUGACCCUCUCAAAAUGCUUGACAGAGGAAUUACCCAGUGUUCAAUGAUACAGUUUCAGGGUUUUUUUUUUUUUGCCAUUCCCCACUUAAUAUCUUUUUGCUCGGGUUGAAACCCCAAGGUGACAAAGAGAUUAGGGAAGGAAUGUUUCUUUGUUGUCCAGAAUUUUUAGGCUACCUUCUUUAUCUGAAAAAAAAACCUUGUCUCCCAAAAAUAAAAUUGUUCAUACCUGGAAAUACCAGCCUUUGGUACCUGAUUCUCCAGAGCUCAAGAUGUAUUCCAGGGGCUGGGGAUGUGGCUCAAGCGGUAGCGCGCUCACCUGUCAUGCGUGCGGCCCGGGUUCGAUCCUCAGCACCACAUACAAACAAAGAUGUUGUGUCUACCGAGAACUAAAAAAAUAAAUAAAUAUUUAAAAAAAAAAAAAAAAAAGAUGUAUUCCAUUGAUGCUUUACCCUUGUAUUUCCCCAGAGAACCAUCAGCACCAAUUUGCUAAGUGCCCCUCUUUGAAGAGUCCCUCCCCUUCAUGAAGCAGCCUUUCAUGUGGAUCUUUCUGUCUCAAGCCCUUUUCUUCCUGAAAGAUCUUUACCGUUCAAAGAGAACAAUAGUUAGAUGUAAACAGAGUACAUUGCAAUUUUCAGGACUUUUUUUUUUUUUCUGCUUGGCUGGAAAGGAAAUUGGAGUAUCUAGUUUCUUUCUGCUUUUGGUUAUUUAUAGUGAUAAUUUCUUAUGAAUGCAAGUAGUUAACAACAGACUGUGCUCAUUUCUUUUUAAAUUUGUGACUCCAAAUCAUUAUUUCUAUUCUUACACAACAACAAAGCCUCAAAUGCACAUAGGAUAGGCCGAAAACUGCAUAUCUCAGCAGGGGUUUAUAGAUUGAAUACCAAAGUUGAAUCUGAAAGACACACUUGGAAUAAGUUCUCAGCUCCAAUCUAAAAUGUCAUCUAAUAUCACAAGCCUAAGGCUACAAAUUUUUCUAAGUUUCCCCAAGUUUCACUUUCUAGAAAAUAAACAGCUACUUCAUCCUAAAUGUUGUAAAUCCCUAGGGGAAAUCUUAUCUCAAAAACAUAGUUAUGCAUUCCCUCCUUCUAACACAUUCAUAGUUGUAGCUGCUUAAAGGCAUGGAAAAACUCCAGUUACUGACUGAAAGAAUUUCUCUAAAGAAAUGACAUAGGAAAGACAGUAGAAUGAAUUGGACCUAACUUUCCUAUGUUCGUAUGUGAAUACACAACCAGUGAAACUCCACAUAGUGUACAACCACAAGAAUGGGAUCCUAAUUAGAAUAAAUUAUGUUCCAUGUAUGCAUGCUAUGUCAAAAUACACUGUACUGCCAUGUAUAUCUAAAAAGAACAAAUUUAAUAAAAAAAAAAAAAAAAAAAACGAAAGAAAACAAGGCUGGGGUUGUGGCUCAGUGGUAGAGACUUUGCCUAGCACAGGUGAGGCACUAGAUUUGAUCCUUAGCACCACAUAAAAACAAUAAAUAAAGUAAAGGUUAAAUUCUCUAAAAAGAGAAAGAGAACAUACCAAUUAUCACAUCAAAAAAAACAAAAAAGGCACAGUGACUUUCUUUACUUUCCUCCUCUUCCUCUAUUGUUAAAACCUGGGCUGGCUGGGUCACCUCUAACAUCUCUAUUAUGGAAGGUAACAUGUUAGUAUAAAAAAGACCACAAGUGGGCUGGGUCUGGGGCUCAGUGGAAGCACACUUGCCUGGCAUGUGUGAGGCACUGGGUUCGAUUCUCAGCAUGGAAUAAAUAUAAAUAAAAUAAAGGUCUGUGAAAAACUAAAAAAAAAAAAAAAAAAGACCACAAGCUUUUGAGCACUGUAGGAGUUUGAAUCCCAUUUUAUUAUGUGGGAUUUAUAGUAUGGAGAUGGGGGGCUCUCAGCCUCUGUUUACAUGAGUCAAUUGGGGGAAAUGAUGCCUAAUUCUAAGGGAUUUUAGAAAGAGUCCAUGAAAUGUGUAAACCUAGGAUUAAGUAAAUAUUCAAGAAAUGUGCCACUUCCUAGUUCCAUGUUGUUUUUUGUAAUUAUUCAAAUGGGAUUACAGAAAUUGUAGGUCAGGAUAAAAUGCCCUACUCAGAAGAUAAAUAACUGAUUUGCUUAAGAAAAAAAUUAUUUUAUCCACUCAUUGCAUGUCAAAUUGUAUAGUUUUAUGAAAUUCAAAGACAUUACCACAUUGACUCUUUUCUAAAUAGAACUUGUAUUAUCAUUUUGUUGAUCAAGCUGUUGUCUCUUAAUACUAUCUCUUAUGAAAUUAGUUUCUUGAUCCCAAGUAGUUCUUUGAUUUAGUGUCUGCUCUCACCUGAACUCAUUUUUCAAUAUUCUAGCUUUACCCAGAGGAUUUUGGAAAAUGAAAGAAUUUGGAAUACUUAGUUUUAAUUAAUUAUCUGUGUUUUGAUAUGGGUGUAACUCACUGACAGAACACUUGGCUAGAGCAUGUAUGCAGUUUUAGGUUCAAUUCCCAGAACCACCAGAGGUGGGGAGAUGAUCUAUGCCUUUUUAUUGUCAGAGAAUUGAAAAUACUCGUGUCCACUGUCCCAAAAUUUGUUUCUAUCUCAACUAGCAAGAAUCAGCAAGGUAUGAGAUACCAUUUUAAGCUACUCACCAUCAGACUGGAAUCAAUUAUAAUUUAUAAGUGAAGCAGAUCAAUUUAUUUGUGAUACCUUUGUAUAAAAAUCAAAAAGGCAAGUACAAAUUUUCUAAUGAGAAAUCUGUUUCUGAACUUUCAAUUCAUAGCCUAGAAUUCCCACCACUCCCAUAACUCCUGAACCCAAUGGAGUGUAGGUAAAAAAAAGCCUUUAGCCCACCAAGCUUCCAUAUACUCAUAAGCAUCUCCCACAAAAGUGUUGAAAAGGGGCUAUAAAGAGAACUAGAAGUAUAGUAUUUUGUUGUAUAAAAUAAGGUACUCACACGCCUUUUAAAAAAUUAAAGAUCUUACAUCUUUCUAAUGAUUUAUUCUGAGCAUGGAGAUACUUCAUGUGUUUGUUAUUUGAAAAUCAUGUAGCUCUUUGUGUGUUCCUUCCAAUUCAUAACUAUAAAACAUGUAUAGGAAUUUUUAAACAUGAGUAGAUUUCAGGGUAUGCUUACCUGUUUACUAUUUGGUUUUAUCUUCAGGUAUAGAUACUUUGUGGUACUACUGAAAAUACCUUUAAUAAUAUUAUUUUGACCAAAAUUUGUAAUAUAUAAUUUACUUUGAAGUGAUGAAUAAAAUUUUUUCUAAUCUCUUGAGAUA
RNAcentral lists this long non-coding RNA (26683 nucleotides) under Marmota monax (woodchuck). Lineage: Eukaryota; Metazoa; Chordata; Mammalia; Rodentia; Sciuridae. The record is from RNAcentral.